GGUGUUUCUCAUUUUUGUUAUGGCACGAGGCAAGGUAGAGGCAUUAAGAGGAGAGUUGAUGAUGAGUCAUGAAGCACGGAGGUCUAUUUUUUUGACUGACACAUUGACUGGACCCCUAAGAACCCCUGUGUUCCUCCCCUUGAUGAAUUGAUUAUCGUUGGAAGUUGGAACUCACUCAUGAAAAAUGAAAGCAACAAAGAGAGAACCAAUUAGUUCAACAGCUCUUCCCCCUCAAGGGGUUGGGCUUGGGGGUUUGCUCCCUCUUAGGUCACAGGUUUCAAAAUCUCUUAGGUUCUAUCAACUCCUUGGGGUCCAGUCCAUAUAGAGCCUUCGCUCUAGCUUUAAUUGGAACCCUCGCAAUUGGGCAGUAGAAUUGGACCCCCAAAAUUAGUCGAAGUGUGUGAAAGCUGGCCCAAACACUUAAGUUAUCAAAAAAAAAACUCUCCCCACAAUAGCAGCUGAAAUCUACAACUUGAAAAUGAAAAGUUCAACAUAAUAAUCAUAACAAAAAGCCUUUUUAUCUCUUCCCUAAAUCUAUAAGAGCCGGUUCCAGAAACGAAAAAGGUCCUUAUUUUUUAAGAAAGCAAUUUCAAUUUCAAAAAUUAUGGACUUAUUGAAAUCUAAAAAAAUGCAAUAUAGAUCUUAUUUGAAAGAUUUCAUCGAGAUCUUUCAUACAAUACAAAAACAAAAACUGAAAUUUUAUUUUUCAUUUACAUUAUUUUUGAGUUUAAAAAUAUAAAAUAAACUACUUAUUUUUUAAAAAAGUUUCUGGAACGGGACCUACCCCUUCUAUCACAUUAAAAUACAUAGUACAAAAAAAUCAAAUCAAUCAACUAGACAAAUCAAUAGAUACACAGAGGCGAAACGAAAAGAAAUCAUAUCUAACCCUAAAAAAGAGAGAGAGAACCAGUAAGCACGACAGCUCUCUCCACAACUGCAGCUGAAAUCUAGUAAUAUUUAAAAAUGAAAAUUUGAGAUAAUAAUCAUAACAGGUCAGUUUCAUUCACAUAUCUUCCCUAAAAUUACCCCACUUUUUUCACAUCAGAACACAUAAAACAAAAAAUCAAAUCAAUCAACUAGAGAAAUAAAUCGAUGCAGAGGCGAGAACAAAUCUAACCCUAAAUGCGAAUCCUGUAACCAAAAAAAGAAAAGAAAAAAUGGUGAAAGGUCUGACCUCUGAUCUGAUCCAGUACAACGGAGCUGGGAGCAAAUGGGUUGCGCGGGGAGACGGAUCUGGUGGGUCCGUUGGAGGGUGAAUCGGAGCCGUUGAUCGGAUUCCUGGAGAAGAAAGCCGACGAUGAUGAGUGAGAGGACCUCCAUGAGAGAGAAGAAGAAAGCCUCCUCCCUGUAACUCUCAACAUCUUCUUCUUCUUCUUCCCUUUUUUCCUCUGCUUUCGGUGGGUUUGGUCCUUCUUAGGCUAGGGUUUCACUACGAUUGGAUGUGCCGAUGAACGGAGAGAAUUUGAGCCAAAGACGAACGAAUGAACGAAA
Long non-coding RNA from Rhododendron vialii, 1491 nucleotides. RefSeq lists it as uncharacterized. The transcript has 2 exons. Lineage: Eukaryota; Viridiplantae; Streptophyta; Magnoliopsida; Ericales; Ericaceae. The record is from RefSeq and is a predicted model, not a curated record.